AUUGAACGCUGGCGGCAUGCCUUACACAUGCAAGUCGAACGGUAACAGGUCUUCGGAUGCUGACGAGUGGCGAACGGGUGAGUAAUACAUCGGAACGUGCCUAGUAGUGGGGGAUAACUACUCGAAAGAGUGGCUAAUACCGCAUGAGAUCUACGGAUGAAAGCAGGGGAUCGCAAGACCUUGUGCUACUAGAGCGGCCGAUGGCAGAUUAGGUAGUUGGUGGGAUAAAAUCUUACCAAGCCGACGAUCUGUAGCUGGUCUGAGAGGACGAUCAGCCACACUGGGACUGAGAAACGGCCCAGACUCCUACGGGAGGAAGCAGUGGGGAAUUUUGGACAAUGGGCGCAAGCCUGAUCCAGCAAUGCCGCGUGCAGGAUGAAGGCCUUCGGGUUGUAAACUGCUUUUGUACGGAACGAAAAGCCCCGGGUUAAUACCCUGGGGUCAUGACGGUACCGUAAGAAUAAGCACCGGCUAACUACGUGCCAGCAGCCGCAGUAA
This 498-nucleotide ribosomal RNA is filed under the name uncultured bacterium. RNAcentral describes it as "partial 16S ribosomal RNA". It matches the Rfam family "Bacterial small subunit ribosomal RNA", at positions 30 to 523 of the family's 1533-position model. The record is from RNAcentral.